UAAUAAAGUGGCUGAGAGGAAAGGCGAUGAAUUGUAAAUUCAUAAACAAGUUGUACUUCUUUAUUAUA
This 68-nucleotide transfer RNA is filed under the name Apotamonautes hainanensis. Its description in RNAcentral is "tRNA-Tyr". It matches the Rfam family "tRNA". From Rfam's summary of the family: Transfer RNA (tRNA) molecules are approximately 80 nucleotides in length. Lineage: Eukaryota; Metazoa; Arthropoda; Malacostraca; Decapoda; Potamidae. The record is from RNAcentral.